This 497-nucleotide ribosomal RNA is filed under the name uncultured bacterium. RNAcentral's name for it is "partial 16S ribosomal RNA". It matches the Rfam family "Bacterial small subunit ribosomal RNA", at positions 29 to 507 of the family's 1533-position model. The record is from RNAcentral.
CAUGAACGCUGGCGGCGUGCCUAAUACAUGCAAGUCGAGCGAACAGAUGAGGAGCUUGCUCCUCUGACGUUAGCGGCGGACGGGUGAGUAACACGUGGAUAACCUACCUAUAAGACUGGGAUAACUUCGGGAAACCGGAGCUAAUACCGGAUAAUAUAUUGAACCGCAUGGUUCAAUAGUGAAAGACGGUUUUGCUGUCACUUAUAGAUGGAUCCGCGCCGCAUUAGCUAGUUGGUAAGGUAACGGCUUACCAAGGCAACGAUGCGUAGCCGACCUGAGAGGGUGAUCGGCCACACUGGAACUGAGACACGGUCCAGACUCCUACGGGAGGCAGCAGUAGGGAAUCUUCCGCAAUGGGCGAAAGCUUGACGGAGCAACGCCGCGUGAGUGAUGAAGGUCUUCGGAUCGUAAAACUCUGUUAUUAGGGAAGAACAAAUGUGUAAGUAACUAUGCACGUCUUGACGGUACCUAAUCAGAAAGCCACGGCUAACUACGUG